CCUGGUGGCUCAGAUGGUAAAGAACCUGUCUGCAAUGCAGGGGACCCAGGUUCAAUCCCUGGGUCAGGA
RNAcentral lists this transfer RNA (69 nucleotides) under Bos taurus (domestic cattle). It matches the Rfam family "tRNA". From Rfam's summary of the family: Transfer RNA (tRNA) molecules are approximately 80 nucleotides in length. Their secondary structure includes four short double-helical elements and three loops (D, anti-codon, and T loops). The record is from Rfam by way of RNAcentral. Lineage: Eukaryota; Metazoa; Chordata; Mammalia; Artiodactyla; Bovidae. RNAcentral also lists the same sequence under 4 other names.